AUGGAUCUUUGUUCCCUGACCAGGGACCCAGCCCUCGGAUUCUUAACCACUGGACCACCACAGAAGUCCCUGGAAUUUAGAAACCUUUCAUCUGGGGCAAAACAGCCAGUUUCUCAGCUGUUCCAAGAACUGAGUCUCUCCAUAAAAUCAGCAAUUGAAAGGACCUUGGCCCAGCGUUUAUUUCUGUGUGUUAAAAUGGAACAAUCUGGGACUUCCCUGGUGGUCCAGUGGCUGAGACUCUACAACCCCAGUGCAGGGGAACCUCAAUUACCUCAAGUGAGAAACAGGUAUGAACCACCACAGCAGAGGCCAUGGGGAUGAGGAACCAGGCCAAUUCAAGAACUGUUCAGGAGUUAAAUCCACAGAAAGCACAGUCCUUGCAACCAUUCUAAGUACUGACUACCACUGAUGAGUGUAAAUUUCUUUUAUUUCUUGGAUAAAUUCUAAGAACUGAAUAACUUAUAUAUUCUACAGUAUCUACUAAAAAUACCUUCAUGUUGAACAAAUCUGACGUUGGGAUAUGCCCCUGUAGGUGUGUGUGUGUGUGUGUGUGUGUGUGUGAAAUUUGAAGAAUUUGAGGAAAGAGGCCUAUUAACACAAGAUCAGAAGCACAGAUCUGGAAUAAUAAUAAUAAUAUUAAGACAGCCAGAGUCUCUUAAGAUGCCCUAUAUAUUGAGGAAACAGAGUGGGGUGUGGGGGAGCUGUAAUUUAGGCAGAGAUAAGUGUGAGAACAAGGUCAUGGCUGAUACAAAAUUCUAUAAAAACACUCCCUAUACAACAUCAAACCUUUAUUAGUCUUAAAAAAUUUUUUGGGGGGCUAUGCCAUAGGUCAUGCAGGAUCUUAGCUCCCCAACCAGGCAGAGUCUUAUCCACUGGACUGCCAGGAAAGUUCCCAACAUCAAACCUUUAGAUUUAACUCCUAGUUUACAAGAAAAAUAGUGACUGAAGCAAAUGUGAAAUGACAUCGUAAGGAUGCAACUGGCCAAGUCCAGAAUGUGGAAAGUUCUUAAGAUAUGUAAUCUGGUUUCUUCAACAAAUAGACUGUGUGUGAAAAAGGAAGGAAGACAAAAAAAAGGAAGGGAAAAUGUUAUACAUGAAAAGAAACUUGAGAGACAUAUUUAUCAAUCAAGUGCAAAGUGGAGAUCCCGAUUCAGAUAAAUAGGGUAUGAAAUAAUAUUUUGGAAACUAUUGGGGAAAAAACUGAACAUGAGUUGGCUAUUAAAUCAUAUUAAGGACAUAUUGUAAAGGUGUGAUAAAGAAAUCAUGGUUAUGUUAAAAGUAUUUAUUAGAGAUACAUAUUCAGUUCAGUUGCUCAGUUGUGUCUGACUCUUUGCGACCCCAUGGACUGCAGCACGCCAGGCUUCCCUGUCCAUCACCAACUCCCAGAGCCUGCUCAAACUCAUGUCCAUCGAGUCAGUGAUGCCAUCCAACCAUCUCAUCCUCUGUCAUCCCCUUCUCCUGCCUUCAAUCUUUCCCAGCACCAGGGUCUCUUCCAAUGAGUUACUUCUUCUCAUCAGGUGCCCAAAGUAUUAGAGAUUCAGCUUUAUCAUCAGUCCUUCCAAUGAAUAUUCAGGACUGAUUUCCUUUAGGAUUGACCAGUUUGAUCUCCUUGCAGUCCAAGGGACUCUCAAGAGUCUUCUCCAACACCACAGUUCAAAAGCAUCAAUUCUUUGGCACUCAGAUACCAGAGAUAUCAGAAAACAGAGAUACAUAUUAAAGUAAAUAUUUACAGGUGAAGUGUUACCAUGGUUUAUUAGAGAUUUACUUAAAAGUGCAUGGGGGUGGACUUCCCUAGUGGUACUGGAUAAGAAUGGACCUGCCAAUGCAGGGGACAGGGGUUCCAUCCCUGGUCAAGGAAGAUUCACCUGCCACAGAGUAACUGAGUCCAUGCGCCACAAAUAUCGAGCCCGCAUGCUACAACUACUGAAGCCUGUGCACCUAGAGCCUGUGCUCUACAACGAGAGAGACGCUGCUGCAAUGAGAAGCCCAUGCUCAAAAGAGUAGCCCCUGCUCACCUCAACUAGAGAAAGCCUGUAUGCAGCAAGAAGACCCAGCACAGCCAAACAAAUAAACCCCCACUGGGGUGAGGGAGAAGGUUGUGGGAGAACAGGUGAAACAAGAAUGACGAAGUGUGAUAACCAGUGAAGUUGGGAUAAUGGUCACGAGGUUUACUAUUCUGACUCCUUUUUUUGUUUGAAAUUUUCUAAAAAAAAUUAAGAACAAAGAUUACAGGAAAGCAUGAAUCUCUUUCCAUUCCCAACUGUAUAAAGUAGCCAGAAGAGAACAUUCUUGCUGUAACACUUUCAGAAAAUGGGAUCAGGAUUGGAGGGCAUUAUUUAAGGAGUAUGUGGCGGGAGAGGGGCUCCAGGAACAGGACGGUACAAGAAAAACUGUUUCUGAGCAGUGCUGAAAGAGCCAUGCUGCUGCUGCUGCUGCUAAGUCACUUCAGUCGUGUCCAACUCUGUGUGACCCCAUAGACAGCAGCCCACCAGGCUACUCCCUCCCUGGGAUUCUCCAGGCAAGAACACUGGAGUGGGUUGCCGUUGGAACACAGAUUUCAAGAUGAAAGGAGUAUCAACUAUGCCAACUAUUGUAGAUGUCAAGAAGAAAGGGAUCAAAAUGAAAACUCCACUAGAUAUGACUAGGAAGUCACUCUUGACCUUGGCAGGAUCGAAGUUUUCAUUUUCAGUUGAGGUGGGAUGAUAUACAACUUUUCCACGAACUUGUCUAUGAAGGAGAGGUAAGGUGAAGAUUGUAAUCUCUCCUUCAACCUCAAAGAAGAAGAAAUUAGGGCAUUUUUUGUGUUUUUCAUGUUGAGGGGAAGUUGCCCCUUUGAGAAUGAUUGAUGAUAUAGAUGAAAAGAGUAAUGACUGACUGAUUUGCAAAGCAAGGAGUCUUACUAGGAGAGGGAACAUUGAGAACAAAUUAUACAUACAUCCUGCUGAAGCAGAGAGCUAGUUUUUUUCUGAUCACAGCCAAUGUACUUGCCUAGUUUAACUUCCAAUUAUUGUUCUGGUGUACAUAUUCACUCACAAGUCCCACACGGCAGAUCUAUUUAUCUCAGUUUUAUACACUGAAGAAAAAAGAUUUUUUUUAUGACUGCACUUUAGGCAUACCUUUUGGUUCUUGAAUAAAAUUGCUCUCUUUGUGGCCUACUGAAGAGGUUUUCCCCUUUAAAAGGUUUUCGUUACAAAAACUGAGCAGCACUACGUCUUCUCUUGGAACUCUCCAGUUUGUUUACUGUUCUUAUUACUCAGCCUACUCACUCUACAAAAACUUUUCAAGAAUUUCUCCUUUUUCUACCAUCGCUAACAUAUAGGACGGUGUAGAUUUGUAUUUCUCUUAUUACCGUUCCAAAAAUUAUUAUAAACUUUUCGAAUCUGAAAAACUCAAUUAUGUACUGAUUAAGCUGACCAGCUUAUCUCCGAAUUCCAAGGAGGGAUGGAAGUAAGGUGUGUAAGAAGGGGAUUAUUCAACACGUCAGGGAAAACUUCAUUCUCAGGUUUAUUGGGGAGGGGGGUGCACAUACUUUGGGGGUGGGAAAAGCAGAGGCGGAGGAGAGCAGAUAAGCUCUUCUUCCUUAGGUUUCAGGGUGAAAUAAACGCACCUGACGCCCGCGUGGCAGAAGAGCUCCGCCAGCUGAGCGAGCCAGGGCUGGACAGAGGCUGUAAACUCGGGGACACGCGUGAGACUCCGCCCAGUGUAAGCACUCGCGCGUUCCCGUGAGGGCGUGCACGCGUACGCAGUUUUGUCUCGCGCAGGGUCGAGCCUGUCAGGCGGGAAAUCUCGCGAGAUCGGAGACUGGGAUGACUGUCGGGAGGAGGGGAGUGGUGUCGGGGAAGGGGGGGAAUCUGGGCAGCGGCCGGGCUCUGUGGCUUCAGGGCUCGGAGAGAGAGAGGGAGGGUGGCAAAGAGAGUGAGUCGGUGCCGCCGCCUGCCUAAGCAGAGAGGAGGGGUCCCGCUUGCCUGCGCCCUUCGCGGGCCGAGAGCGCGAGGCACCCGCAACCUCUGAGGCCUCCGGCCCCUGGUGACCCC
Molecule: long non-coding RNA, 4034 nt
Filed under: Ovis aries (sheep)
Lineage: Eukaryota; Metazoa; Chordata; Mammalia; Artiodactyla; Bovidae
Description: lncRNA (ENSOARG00000026359.1)
Source: RNAcentral